GCCGAAGUGGCGGAAAUGGUAGACGCAAGGGACUUAAAAUCCCUCGGUUCUUUGAACCGUGCCGGUUCGAUUCCGGCCUUCGGCACAA
RNAcentral lists this transfer RNA (88 nucleotides) under Fidelibacterota bacterium. Its description in RNAcentral is "tRNA-Leu". It matches the Rfam family "tRNA". From Rfam's summary of the family: Transfer RNA (tRNA) molecules are approximately 80 nucleotides in length. Their secondary structure includes four short double-helical elements and three loops (D, anti-codon, and T loops). Further hydrogen bonds mediate the characteristic L-shaped molecular structure. tRNAs have two regions of fundamental functional importance: the anti-codon, which is responsible for specific mRNA codon recognition, and the 3' end, to which the tRNAs corresponding amino acid is attached (by aminoacyl-tRNA synthetases). tRNAs cope with the degeneracy of the genetic code in two manners: having more than one tRNA (with a specific anti-codon) for a particular amino acid; and 'wobble' base-pairing, i.e. permitting non-standard base-pairing at the 3rd anti-codon position. Lineage: Bacteria; Pseudomonadati; Fidelibacterota. The record is from RNAcentral.